CUCUAUGUCUGUACCACCUUGAACACACUGAUCUCAUCUGAUCUUGGAACUCUGAAGGGUUGGGCCUGGUUAGUACUUGCAGGUGAGAGUUAGAGCUGCCUGAGACAGGAGA
Molecule: ribosomal RNA, 112 nt
Filed under: Microtus ochrogaster (prairie vole)
Lineage: Eukaryota; Metazoa; Chordata; Mammalia; Rodentia; Cricetidae
Source: RNAcentral